CUCAGGGCGGUGUUUAGGGUGGAGGGAAAGUAGGUGCCUAUCUCUUUAAGAGGGCCUCCGCACACGUGAUUCAUCAAAGUGCCCGCAGUCCGCCGCCCGGGAGCGGAAAGCUGCUUCCUACUCCCGCUGCCGGGCGGUCCGGCUACUGAGCAUGCCCGGCGCGGCGACGGCUGCCAAACGAGAGGACUUGAAGCUGAGGUUAAGCACUGAUUUCCCUUCCUAGGGGCCUAGCGUGAAAUGGACGGGAACUAGCCGAGAGAGAGGAGGUGUAGCCCAUUUUAGAGACGGAGACACUGAGGCCUGGGAGGAUUCACGUGUGGUAAACUACCCAAGGACAGCAGAGAAGAGGGGAUACAUGCUCCCAGACAGGGUGGGCAAGGAGCCCUAAGGAGCAGGAUUGGUCCCAGCAGAAGAAAAGUGGACAACAAGAAAAGCCUUGGGAGCAGUAAUGACCAAUAAUGGUCACUUACCUGGAGCAAUCUAAAUUGUUUCCUUUGCAAACAACAAAGCAAAGGCACAGUUUCCAGGCACUGACCAAGGAACAGAGAAGCUGUAUAUUGGAGCUGAAAGUUACACUUGACCCCUGCCCCACCGACUGGUUAGCUAAGGAGAUAAAACCUGAAAUUAUAAGAAAUUCUAGGGAACAAGCAGAAAGAAAAGUCCUGGAUGAAGCAACUUUGGCAAAAUGUUCAUAAUUUGUGUAGCUGAAUAAUGGGUAUAUGGGACUUUUUAAAACAAAAUGUGUCAUUAAUUUUGAGUUAACAGAAGAACUGUUAUGAGUUAAUAGAACUAAAGCCCAAAACAUUCAGAAUUGGUUGCCUAUUGGUAAUGGAACCGUGGGGAAAGG
RNAcentral lists this long non-coding RNA (847 nucleotides) under Bos mutus (wild yak). RNAcentral describes it as "lncRNA (ENSBMUG00000003761.1)". The record is from RNAcentral. Lineage: Eukaryota; Metazoa; Chordata; Mammalia; Artiodactyla; Bovidae.